UGUAUCUAAAGUCAUGUGGCCAAAAACGCUACACGCUCCAUAGCCUCUCAGCAUAUUUUUAAUCAUGCUUUGCCGUCCAAGUAUUUGCGUACCCUUUGCCGCCUCGAGAAACUUCUUUGCCGCCUUUUAUGGUUUAACUUAUCUACCGUUAAAUACCUAUUCCUAAAUUAAUCUCAAUCGUCCAUUCAUCCCUAACCCUCAAUAAAUUGCAAUUUGAUUCUGCUUUUCAUUUUAAUCACUAAAACCUCGUCCUACCGUUCGUCGAAUGGCUGGUAAACGGUGGUACCGUCGACGGUUCACGUAGAUGUUGUCGAUCUGAAGCUUUUGGGAGAGAUUCAUGGAUAUGGACUAAUUGCUUGAUCAACCGUUUCGAGGAUUGUACCGUUAGCUAUGAGAGAGUUAUCUAUCCGCAUUGAGCUGCGACGCUAAUGAAUUGGUAUCCUAUUUGCUACAAAUCAAACGGAUUGGAUUGCUGAUCUUUCAAUGCUGCAAUUUCAUCUAUGAAGGGCGUCUAAGGUUCUAAUUGUUUUAUUUAAUGUUUAUGUUUAUGUGAAUAAUUUAUAUACACUAGUAGUUUUCUAUUUAUGCUUGCUUAUGUAUGAGAGGAUGAAAGAUUGAGUCUGUAACGAUGUAUCGGGGCAUGAGAGGAAAAAGUGAGGUAUUUUAUUGUUCAUGUUACCAGGCCUUUGCCAUGUUGGGUGCGCUCGCAUGGCAGGUCACGAGUACCUAAUAAACGUAUUUAUUUUUGGCGUCUGAGGGGAGAUGGUACGGGGUUUUGCCCGGCUCUCCUCUCUCUGUGUCGUGUCUCUUUAUAUUUUACCUGCACUUUCUAUAUUUUCCUGGUUCCAAUAACUCUCAUCAAUUCCGUGGUUACGUGUCCUCGAAUUGGUCUUGUUUAUUUCUGCACUGUGUCAUCUUGAAAGACGACGUAACUCAUGUUAAUUUGCUAAUUAUGGGGAUGGACAAUCAACAUUCUACUGCAGCACUCCCUUAGAGGUACAAUCAUCAAUUCUCUUCUAGUAUGGUUAACUAGGCAUCAUUAUUUUCAUACCAUCUAGUAUUUGAACUACUGGGCUUACAAUCUUAAAAUACUUAAUUUCACUCCUUAGUUAUUUAUGAGUCUGAAAAUUAUCUGAUUCGACCACUGGAUGCAAGUUGCCUCAAUCAGGCUGAGCCAGGAUUUUGAGUGUAUGGGUUCUGGGUUAUAAUUUUUUUUGCCUUGCUGGGUUUCGAUUGGAUUACUUGUACAUACUAGAUUAAUGUAUGGGCUUUGAGCCUAGUUUAAUAGGUUAUACUGUACUCGUGGCUAUGCUUUAAACCAGUUGGAAACUAAAACUAUGUUCAUAAGAACUGUCGGUUGAGCGCUGCAAGUUUUUAUGCAAGGUGUUCCAUAAAAUUGGUAUAAGGACCUCAAGCUUCCUGAACUACUAACGAAUAUGUAUUGCAAAAACUAGUAAUGGAUCAUGCAUUGGGCUCACGUAGAGGGUCAAUUAGACCAACUACUAAUUGCAUGUAUUUCAUUUCGCUGCAAAUCACUUUGGCCUAAUAAUCAAUCUCAAUUUUCUAAGCUCCUAAGCUCAAGACAUCUAGUUUUAAUCGGUUGAUUUAGCUACGACAGAUGAGAUAAGCAUGAUAGAAAUCUAGUAAAGCUGGUUUUUGAUGAAGAGCCAAGAUAGGAUACGGUAGUUAUAUUUUCAUUAUAAUCGUUUGUAGUUAAUUUUGAUUAUCGCAUUUAUUGAACUUUGACUAGGCAAAUGCUAGUUCAUUGCUGUUUCAACAGUUGCUCUUACUCAACUAAAUGUACUUGUGUACAAGUUCUGUGGGAGCUCGUUUGCCUGUUUUGUAAUUGUAUCAAACUUCAAUCGAUGUUGUUGUUAUGGUGCUCUUGUUGUAGUCCUUGGGAGGGUACCCUUUGGUUGGUAGGUUAGGAAGUUCUGCCUUGAACAGCUCAGUGUCUCUAGGUCAAAUUGAAGCUUAUCAGAUUAUAGUUGAUGGCCAUGAUUGUUAUCAAUGGCCUGGUCAUGUGGCCUGAGGUCCAGAGAAUUCUUGAUUCAUGCUGCUCUUGGUGUACUGCUGUUCCUCCUACUUAUGGAAGGUAAACCACUGCUUUUGUCUGGAAGUAUCAAGAAAUGCCUACUCUGGAUGUAUCAAGAAAUGUUCAAGCUAUUCCUGCUGCUGUAUUUGCUGUUGAAGAUUGGAUCCAUCAUGUCUGCUGUAUAUAGCACAUGCAAGAAUCUUAGAUGCUGCUGCUCAUGUUUGUCUGAAGCAGUUGGUUCUGUUGUAUCUGGUGCCAUCUAUUACCAGAAAUCUUACCACUGGUUGGUUUUUCAUUCUGCUGCAUCCUGAAAAAGCCAUGUCAGUCUACAGUUGCCCUGGUUGAUUGAUCUAUAGUCAUCUGGAGCAUCAGUCUAUUACAAGCCUUUCUGCUAAUCUCUGAAUGAAACAGACAAGCAGGGGUGGGAGUCCCUCCUGGCUGAGUGGUCUGAGCCGUGCGCCACGGUUGACUUUUAGCUCUCCUGGUUUAUCAUACUGAGUUUUUGUGACAGAUGGUGUUUUGAGCAGAUCUGACAGUGUUUUAUGUUGGUGCUGCUCUUCAGAGGAUGAAGUUUUGUCCAGUAUGCAAACUCCGCAUUCCUAAUGUUUUUGUGAAUGUUAACAAGUUCAUCUCUUAUUCUCGGUGCAAUUCCAAAUGUUUAGGUGUUUCUUCGCAAGACACUAUUACUGAUGGCAUAGACUCUUUGCCAGUAGGUUGUGUUAAUUUAUCGGGGUGUCCUGGUGUCUAUUGAGUCAUGGCAGUGUAUUUUUCGAUACGGUAUUAGUACUGGCUUGGCGGUGUCCUGUUAAAUUUUCCUUUAAUGGAUGAUGUCAAAUCCGGGAUCUUUGUUAAUUUUGCCAGUCUUGGGGAUAAUUUGAGUUCAAGUUGUCUGUGUAAAUUAGAACUGGCAUGUUGGGAACUUUUAUUUACCAAUAUUGUUUAAUGGUAUGAUGGUAGUGUAGUUUUCUGA
Molecule: long non-coding RNA, 3005 nt
Organism: Solanum tuberosum (potato)
Lineage: Eukaryota; Viridiplantae; Streptophyta; Magnoliopsida; Solanales; Solanaceae
Exons: 3
Source: RefSeq, a predicted model, not a curated record